This 81-nucleotide transfer RNA is filed under the name Novosphingobium indicum. RNAcentral's name for it is "tRNA-Arg". Lineage: Bacteria; Pseudomonadati; Pseudomonadota; Alphaproteobacteria; Sphingomonadales; Sphingomonadaceae. The record is from RNAcentral.
CAGCCGCUGGGUGAUGCGCUGGUCCAGCUCGGCCUCGAUCCGGGCGGUGACGUCUCCCUUGUUCGAGACGAAGGCGGCGGC